AUGGGGCUUCGCGGACCGAGCAGCUCGGGGGUGUUCCUGACAGUCAGCCUUCUGUGGGUGACUGGAUGCUUCACCCAAAAAGUUUACUUUGAUUGUGGAGCCAAGGUGGAUGUUGUGGAUGUGCAGGGCCUCAUUCUGUCCCCUGGCUUCCCAUAUAACUAUUCAUCUGGAACUCACUGUGUGUGGCAGUUCUUUGUACCUGUUGGUCACCAGCUAAUCCUGGAGAUGUUUGAUUUUGAUGUCUUUGAGAGUCACGACAGUGCCGUUGUGGACGAGGUACCAAACGAUGGUGGCGCGCUGGUGUCGAAAAGCCUCGGAAGUCCAAAAGAACCCCAGUCCACACUCCGAGAGGACGUCAAGCAAGUGGUGAUCCAAGAACAGUCCACCAAAAUGGAGAUGACCAAAGUUUCCAAUUCUGCCAAAAUGCUUUCCGAUCCCCCCUCGGCUCCACAAGCAUCUCUUCCAGUUGAAAACAGAAAUUUUGUUUCAUCUCAGGCAUCAAGAGCAGCCACUGACUUUAUCAUUUCAAGCCCACGAACGGCCACAGAAACGGGUGACGCUGUGAGCCCUGAGACCCAGGCACCUUUGAUCGAUGCCUGUCCCAACGAUGUUCUCUACAUAUCAGAUCUCAUCACCUUCUCCUCCCGAUUCUGCGGCUCUAGACAGCCUUCUAGCAGCCAGUUAGUGUUUGGAUCUGAUGAUGACAUGGUUGAGGUCAUUAUGGAGUUGAUUACCACUACCCACUGGGGCCGUGGUUUCGCUCUCCUUUUCCAUUAUCAGAAUCAAACUCAGACCGCCACAAGCGAACAUCAGAGAUCACUAUUGACCUCCGACAGCAGAACUGGUGUUGUACUGCUCGGUGCUGUAAGUGGGACAGUUGUAUUUGCUGUGGCCCUUGCUGGCAUCCUCUGUGUGAUUUUCAGGUAAGGAAGUUUCUUCUACAGAUGCAGAGAUUUAUUUUGAAAUGCAAACUUAUCUGACUUAAGAGUUGCUUGGUGAACCAGGGGUGGACAUGUGUAUAUCUAAAGUCUGCAUUUUAUAUAUACAGUACAGACCAAAAGUUUGGAAACAUCACUAUUUUUAAUGUUUUUGAAAGAAGUUUCUUCUGCUCAUCAAGCCUGCAUUUAUUUGAUCAAAAAUACAGAAAAAAAUUUAAUAUUGUGAUAUAUUAUUACAAUUUAAAAUAAUUGUUUUUAAAUUUAUUAUACUUUAAAUUAUCAUUUAUUUCUGUGAUGCAAAGCUGAAUUUUUAGGAUCAUUAUCACAUGAUCCUUUAGAAAUCAUUCUAAUAUGAUGAUUCAUUAUCAAAGUUGGAAACAGUUCUGCUGCUUAAUAUUUUUUCAGAACAUGUGAUACUUUUUUAGGAUACUUUGAUGAAUAAAAAGUAAAAAAAAAAAAAAAAGAAGCUAUGU
This is a long non-coding RNA of Cyprinus carpio (common carp), 1411 nucleotides long. Lineage: Eukaryota; Metazoa; Chordata; Actinopteri; Cypriniformes; Cyprinidae. The record is from Ensembl.